GUGAGUGUGUGGUAUGUGAAGAUAUACCUGAAAAGGGGGCUGGUACCACAUUGUGGGGCCCGCAACUGCCGAAUUUGAAAUUUAUUUGACCUGCCAAGGGAUGCCCCUCCUGGUGUCUAGCACGGUUAGCUGAGUUCCAGACCAGGGCACCACAGACCGCCCAUCCGCCAUGACGGUGAUUUCCAGACCUCAUCCUCCCAUCGUGCCAGAGGUAACCCAAUCUGAGACAACUGUAGUACCGGGAGUGGCUGGAGAAAGUUGGUGAUGAGAUUUUGAAGCUGGAUCAAAACCUGCUUACUGGCAACGUGGUCCCCAUCACAGAGACCUCAGAAACUGAAGAGAAGACCAGGUCCCCAGGAGGAAGAACUAAGUGUACCAUGAGGUAGAACUGCACGUCAGCCAGGGAUAUCGGAACCAAGUUAGCUGUUGCUUCAAGAUCCUGGGUUGCCUGCACAGUGGCCCUGGAUUGCCUGUUGGAAGAAAGCUGGCACAUCUCUGAGACUUUGCCAAGCUCCAUCCAAAUGCUCUCGUGUGUUUGCUCAUCCUUUCCACUGGCCCAGGACCCUCGGGCCCCUCCUCCUAUAUGCAGAUGAUGGCAGGCACUGACAACCAGAGGCUGUGCUAGAAUGGAAAGAAAACCUCUGUGCUGGUACAGGAUGGACCCCUGUGGUACACACUGCUGGCUCAUUUUCUCUCCCAGAACCAGCCUGUGGAUGAGCAGGGGCACGUAUGAAUACCACUGUUCUCAUGUCAUAGCCCACCAGGCUUGGCGUUUCUGUUAAAUGUUGGCAAGUGCUUCAGAGCUGUAGAGAGAGUUGUUCAGACUAACUUUAAUUUUAUUAAUUCACAUUAAGCACUCUGGAUAGUUUUUCCAUUUUUGUACUAAAAAAAAUGUCCAUUUUCAGAUAGGAAAUAAAAUCCCUUUUUUUUCCACUAGAAAUAAUGCAUUGCAUCUUUUACUAAGAAAAAUAUUAAAUUUAUAAGCAUACUUAUACUGUAAUCAUUUCCUGUGAUUACUUUUCAUUUUUAUGCUAAUAUAACUAGAAUUUAUAUAGUGCAUUAUUUUUCCAUAGUGCAUCUAUUCUGAUAAAUACAGAAAAAAGCAAAAGCACCCAAAAAGAUCUUCUGAGAAGGGCCAUAAAUGUACCUUUUUAUCAUCCUUAUUAGCAAAACAUUCUUUAUUCUCUCUUCUCUCUCUUGCCUCAUUAGAAAAAAUCUGUACUAUUUAUAGAUAUUACAUAGAUGUAUAAAUAGAUUUACUUAUAGAGCUAAAGUAGAUAUGGACCUUAGUACACUAAAAAACAAGUCAUUCAUCAGUUUCUGUGAAUCUCCUAAAUUUGCAGCCUGUUCAAAUACUUGACCUGACCUUUCCUUGGUCUGUGAGAUUUUGGAGGACCAUUAUGCAGGUUACAAACUCACCUCUUGGUGAACUGAAUGCUCUGAUUGACACACAUUACCUUUGGGCAACAAUAAGUGUAUAAGGGAGGAACUUAAAGGCAUGACCCUUGACAGCCUGAGGAAUAUACCUAAGGUGGAAAAAAGAAGAGACCUGGCCAUAACACCUCGGAUGUCCAUACUUUGAACAUUGGCCAAACAAGGUUUCUAGA
Molecule: long non-coding RNA, 1607 nt
Organism: Hippopotamus amphibius kiboko
Lineage: Eukaryota; Metazoa; Chordata; Mammalia; Artiodactyla; Hippopotamidae
Exons: 6
Source: RefSeq, a predicted model, not a curated record